ACAGUCAGUGCUUAACAACUAUUAGAACACAUGGGGAAACUGAGGAUCGAGAAAGAUGAAAGGUUCAUCAAAGAUCAAACUAUAGUGGGUGACAAAUCCAGGAUUUCACCCAGUCUCAAAUGCCCCUUUGAAGUCUUCAAGAUGGGUUUGGUGAGCAUCCAGGCCCAAACCCCACCCCUCCUGGGUUGUCAUUCCAUCCCCGCCAGCAGCCCAUCCCUCUAGCGUGUCCUGCCUGAUCAGACACAGCUGACUUCAUACCUCAAGGGGAGGGGUCACCAAUCCUCCACAACCCUACCUCCAGGGAGCCCUCCAGGAUACCGCCUACCUUCCAGAUAGUGCCUGUGGACAUCCUUCUGUUGGAGGAGCAUCUGUUCAGCGAGGUAGAUGAAACCACUCUUGGAUGCACCGUUGUUUGCUCUGAUUUGCCAGUUUGAGGCCCUUGGACUCCCGCCAUGUCACCAAAGCCCUGCGCCUCCCAUCACUGGUUAAACGGCCAAGACCUUCCCAUACAAGAGCCUCUUGAUUCUUGCCUAAGGACUUUGCUUUACACUUUUACAAAACAAUAAAUGCUGUUAACAUUUAUUAAACAACGUACACAUCUGAUCUCAUUUGCUCCUUCCAC
RNAcentral lists this long non-coding RNA (622 nucleotides) under Equus asinus (donkey). Its description in RNAcentral is "lncRNA (ENSEASG00005032371.1, ENSEASG00020029154.1)". The record is from RNAcentral. Lineage: Eukaryota; Metazoa; Chordata; Mammalia; Perissodactyla; Equidae.